GAAUUCGCCCUUAGAGUUUGAUCCUGGCUCAGGACGAACGCUGGCGGCGUGCUUAACACAUGCAAGUCGAACGAGAAUCGUAUGAGGGAGAUUUCGGUCAACUGAAUACGAGGACAGUGGCGGACGGGUGAGUAACGCGUGAGGAACCUGCCUUUCAGAGGGGGACAACAGUUGGAAACGACUGCUAAUACCGCAUGACACAUUGAGGUCGCAUGGCCUUAAUGUCAAAGAUUUAUCGCUGAAAGAUGGCCUCGCGUCUGAUUAGCUAGUUGGUGAGGUAACGGCCCACCAAGGCGACGAUCAGUAGCCGGACUGAGAGGUUGAACGGCCACAUUGGGACUGAGAUACGGCCCAGACUCCUACGGGAGGCAGCAGUGGGGAAUAUUGGGCAAUGGGCGCAAGCCUGACCCAGCAACGCCGCGUGAAGGAAGAAGGCUUUCGGGUUGUAAACUUCUUUUGUCAGGGACGAGUAGAAGACGGUACCUGACGAAUAAGCCACGGCUAACUACGUGCCAGCAGCCGCGGUAAUACGUAGGUGGCAAGCGUUGUCCGGAAUUACUGGGUGUAAAGGGAGCGCAGGCGGGGGAGCAAGUCAGCUGUGAAAUAUACGGGCUUAACUCGUAGACUGCAGUUGAAACUGUUCUUCUUGAGUGAAGUAGAGGUAGGCGGAAUUCCGAGUGUAGCGGUGAAAUGCGUAGAGAUUCGGAGGAACACCAGUGGCGAAGGCGGCCUACUGGGCUUUAACUGACGCUGAGGCUCGAAAGUGUGGGGAGCAAACAGGAUUAGAUACCCUGGUAGUCCACACUGUAAACAAUGAUUGCUAGGUGUGGGGGGUCUGAACCCCUUCCGGGCCGCAGUUAACGCAAUAA
RNAcentral lists this ribosomal RNA (869 nucleotides) under uncultured bacterium. RNAcentral's name for it is "bacterial SSU rRNA". It matches the Rfam family "Bacterial small subunit ribosomal RNA", at positions 1 to 863 of the family's 1533-position model. The record is from RNAcentral.